RNAcentral lists this ribosomal RNA (253 nucleotides) under uncultured bacterium. RNAcentral describes it as "partial 16S ribosomal RNA". It matches the Rfam family "Bacterial small subunit ribosomal RNA", at positions 524 to 776 of the family's 1533-position model. The record is from RNAcentral.
UACGGAGGUGGCUAGCGUUGUUCGGAAUUACUGGGCGUAAAGGGCGCGUAGGCGGCUUUGCAAGCCAGAUGUGAAAUCCCCGGGCUUAACCUGGGAACUGCAUUUGGGACUGCAAGGCUGGAGUACGGCAGAGGGAGGUGGAAUUCCACGUGUAGCAGUGAAAUGCGUAGAGAUGUGGAGGAACACCGAUGGCGAAGGCAGCCUCCUGGGCUAGUACUGACGCUCAUGCACGAAAGCGUGGGGAGCAAACAGG